This 504-nucleotide ribosomal RNA is filed under the name uncultured bacterium. Its description in RNAcentral is "partial 16S ribosomal RNA". It matches the Rfam family "Bacterial small subunit ribosomal RNA", at positions 28 to 507 of the family's 1533-position model. The record is from RNAcentral.
GACGAACGCUGGCGGCGUGCCUAAUACAUGCAAGUAGAACGCACAGUUUAUACCGUAGCUUGCUACACCAUAGACUGUGAGUUGCGAACGGGUGAGUAACGCGUAGGUAACCUGCCUGGUAGCGGGGGAUAACUAUUGGAAACGAUAGCUAAUACCGCAUAAUAUUGAUUAUUGCAUGAUAAUUGAUUGAAAGAUGCUAUUGCAUCACUACCAGAUGGACCUGCGUUGUAUUAGCUAGUAGGUGAGGUAACGGCUCACCUAGGCGACGAUACAUAGCCGACCUGAGAGGGCGACCAGCCACACUGGGACUGAGACACGGCCCAGACUCCUAAGGGAGGCAGCAGUAGGGAAUGUUGGACAAUGGGGGAAAGCCUGAUCCAGCCAUGCCGCGUGAGUGAAGAAGGUUUUCGGGUUGUAAACCGCUUUUGUAAGGGAAGAAAGCGUGUGGGCGAAGAAAGCGGGCGCAGGACGGGAACGGAAGAAGAAGGACCGGCUAACUACGGG